CCUACGGGUGGCAGCAGUGGGGAAUAUUGGGCAAUGGGCGCAAGCCUGACCCAGCAACGCCGCGUGAAGGAAGACGGCUUUCGGGUUGUAAACUUCUUUUCUCAGGGACGAAGCAAGUGACGGUACAUGAGGAAUAAGCCACGGCUAACUACGUGCCAGCAGCAGCGGUAAUACCUAGGUGGCAAGCGUUAUCCGGAUUUACUGGGUGUAAAGGGCGAGUAGGAGGGAAAGCAAGUCAGAUGUGAAAACCAUGGGCUCAACCUGUGGCCUGCAUUUGAAACUGUUUUUCUUGAGUACUGGAGAGGCAGACGGAAUUCCUGGUGUAGCGGUGAAAUGCGUAGAUAUUAGGAAGAACACCAGUGGCGAAGGCGGUCUGCUGGACAGCAACUGACGCUGAGGCGCGAAAGCGUGGGGAGCAAACAGGAUUAGAUACCCUAGUAGUC
This 443-nucleotide ribosomal RNA is filed under the name uncultured bacterium. RNAcentral's name for it is "partial 16S ribosomal RNA". It matches the Rfam family "Bacterial small subunit ribosomal RNA", at positions 338 to 795 of the family's 1533-position model. The record is from RNAcentral.